This 405-nucleotide ribosomal RNA is filed under the name uncultured bacterium. Its description in RNAcentral is "partial 16S ribosomal RNA". It matches the Rfam family "Bacterial small subunit ribosomal RNA", at positions 30 to 526 of the family's 1533-position model. The record is from RNAcentral.
AUUGAACGCUGGUGGCAGGCCUAACACAUGCAAGUCGAGCGCGCGGCGGACGGGUGCGUAAUGUAUCGGAACGUGCCCAGUAGCGGGGGAUCACUACUCGAAAGAGUGGCUAAUACCGCAUACUCUUGGAGCGGCCGAUAUCGGAUUAGAUGGUUGGUGGGGUAAAGGCUCACCAAGGCAACGAUCCGUAGCUGGUUUGAGAGGACGACCAGCCACACUGGGACUGAGACACGGCCCAGACUCCUACGGGAGGCAGCAGUGGGGAAUUUUGGACAAUGGGGGAAACCCUGAUCCAGCCAUCCCGCGUGUAUGAGAAGGCCUUCGGGUUGUAAAGUACUUUUGGCAGAGAAGCGGUAUCUGCAGAAUAAGCACCGGCUAACUACGUGCCAGCCGCCGCGGUAAUUC